Molecule: small RNA, 428 nt
Filed under: Histoplasma ohiense
Lineage: Eukaryota; Fungi; Ascomycota; Eurotiomycetes; Onygenales; Ajellomycetaceae
Description: hypothetical lncRNA
Source: RNAcentral
AGCCCUCAAUGAUUCCCCCGCCCCACGUUCCGCGCUCGCGUAACUUCUAACGAUUCUUACGCGUACCCCUUAAUGUUCUUCCGCUCCGCGCUCCACUGUGGAGCGGCUUCUGAUAUUCUUCCGCCCCGAACUUUCCCCUAUAAGAACCCCCUUCGUACGACCUUUUCUUCUGAUUUCUUUUCUCUUUCUUUCCUUAAUCAAUUCGUAAUCUGUAAUUAGGAUAGUACCAAAUCGUUAAUCGAAGUACGCCCGUUACACAAUUGUAUGAUUUAUACUGGGUUCUUGAUGAGAGGGAAGCUUUUCAGCUUCUUUCUUAUUGAAUAUAUCUGUGAAGUCUUUGUACAAUUUGAGUAGUUUCUUGUGUGAUUUCUUGAGGUCUUUGGGUUCUAACUUUUCUAAUGCUUUUUUGAUAUCUGUCAUGCUAGCAG